GUUGGCUAAAAAUCAUCCCUGGCUUUGACUGUAGCUGUGGCCUGUGGGUGAGAUUGAGCAUUCAGAACCACCAGUGGCCUACGCUGGCCGCCCACCACUUGGUGUGCAGGCAGUGAAACCCAGACCCCAGUGCAG
Molecule: small nucleolar RNA, 135 nt
Organism: Cynocephalus volans (Philippine flying lemur)
Lineage: Eukaryota; Metazoa; Chordata; Mammalia; Dermoptera; Cynocephalidae
Product: small nucleolar RNA ACA64
Exons: 1
Source: RefSeq, a predicted model, not a curated record